This 774-nucleotide ribosomal RNA is filed under the name uncultured Neocallimastigales. RNAcentral's name for it is "partial large subunit ribosomal RNA". It matches the Rfam family "Eukaryotic large subunit ribosomal RNA", at positions 24 to 635 of the family's 3401-position model. The record is from RNAcentral. Lineage: Eukaryota; Fungi; Neocallimastigomycota; Neocallimastigomycetes; Neocallimastigales.
AUCUCUGUAGAGUCUGCAUAUCAAUAAGCGGAGGAAAAGAAACUAACAAGGAUUCCCUUAGUAACGGCGAGUGAAGCGGGAAGAGCUCAAAUUUGAAAUCUUCAAGGUUUUACCUUGACGAAUUGUAGUUUAAAGAAGUGUUUUCUGUUGAAGUUUUGGUAAAAGUUCUUUGGAAUAGGACAUCAUAGAGGGUGAGAAUCCCGUAUUUGACCGUUACUUUCAGCUGUGUGAUACACUUUCAAAGAGUCGGAUUGUUUGGGAAUGCAGUCCAAAAUGGGUGGUAAAUUUCAUCUAAAGCUAAAUAUUGGCGAGAGACCGAUAGCGAACAAGUACCGUGAGGGAAAGAUGAAAAGAACUUUGAAAAGAGAGUUAAACAGUACGUGAAAUUGUCAAAAGGGAAGCGUUUGACACCAGUGUUGUUUUCUCGAAAAUCAAUUAAAAAAGGCAGGAUCUUGUGUUGUAUUGACUUUAUCAGCUUUCUGCACUCUUUUCUUGUCUUUUUUUAAUGCACUUUUCGUUUAACAAGUCAACAUCAAUUUCUUUUGUUGUAAAAGGGUCAUUGGAAGGUGGCUUUCUUUUCGGAGAAAGUGUUUAUAGCCUUUGGCCUCUGCAAUCGGAGAGAUUGAGGUCUGCAGCGUAGAUCCUUCGGGGUUAGAUACAUUUGUGCUAAGUUAUAGCCUUUCAUAGACAACUUGUUGACUAUGAUCAGUCAUGUAGCUUACUCGCUUGUGCUAUUUUACCUACGCUUAGGAUGUUGAAGAUGUAGCACAUCAU